Molecule: transfer RNA, 73 nt
Filed under: Ailuropoda melanoleuca (giant panda)
Lineage: Eukaryota; Metazoa; Chordata; Mammalia; Carnivora; Ursidae
Rfam family: tRNA
About the family: Transfer RNA (tRNA) molecules are approximately 80 nucleotides in length.
Source: Rfam by way of RNAcentral
GCCUGGCUGGCUCAGUCGGUAGAGCACGGAACUCUUGAUUUUGGGGUUGUGGGUUCGAGCUCCAUGUUGGGUG